CGGGACACGUGGUAUCCUGUCUGAAUAUGGGGGGACCAUCCUCCAAGGCUAAAUACUCCUGACUGACCGAUAGUGAACCAGUACCGUGAGGGAAAGGCGAAAAGAACCCCGGCGAGGGGAGUGAAAAAGAACCUGAAACCGUGUACGUACAAGCAGUGGGAGCACGCUUAGGCGUGUGACUGCGUACCUUUUGUAUAAUGGGUCAGCGACUUAUAUUCUGUAGCAAGGUUAACCGAAUAGGGGAGCCGAAGGGAAACCGAGUCUUAACUGGGCGUUAAGUUGCAGGGUAUAGACCCGAAACCCGGUGAUCUAGCCAUGGGCAGGUUGAAGGUUGGGUAACACUAACUGGAGGACCGAACCGACUAAUGUUGAAAAAUUAGCGGAUGACUUGUGGCUGGGGGUGAAAGGCCAAUCAAACCGGGAGAUAGCUG
This 431-nucleotide ribosomal RNA is filed under the name Escherichia coli. RNAcentral's name for it is "partial 23S ribosomal RNA". It matches the Rfam family "Bacterial large subunit ribosomal RNA", at positions 418 to 851 of the family's 2925-position model. Lineage: Bacteria; Pseudomonadati; Pseudomonadota; Gammaproteobacteria; Enterobacterales; Enterobacteriaceae. The record is from RNAcentral.